RNAcentral lists this ribosomal RNA (440 nucleotides) under uncultured bacterium. RNAcentral's name for it is "partial 16S ribosomal RNA". It matches the Rfam family "Bacterial small subunit ribosomal RNA", at positions 338 to 795 of the family's 1533-position model. The record is from RNAcentral.
CCUACGGGCUGCAGCAGUGGGGAAUAUUGCACAAUGGGCGAAACCCUGAUGCAGCGACGCCGCGUGAGUGAAGAAGGAUUUCGGUAUGUAAAGCUCUAUCAGCAGGGAAGAAAGUGACGGUACCUGAUUCAGAAGCCACGGCUAACUACGUGCCAGCAUCCGCGGUCAUACGUCGGGCGCGAGCGUUAUGCGGCUUUACGGGGUUUAAAGGGAGCGUAGACGGCAGCACAAGUAUGGAGUGAAAUGCCCGGGCUUAACCCCGGAACUGCUUUGGAAACUGGGCAGCGAGAGUGCAGGAGAGGGAAGUGGAAUGCCGAGUGUAGCGGUGAAAUGCGUAGAUAUCAGGAGGAACACCAGUGGCGAAGGCGGCUUACUGGACUGUAACUGACGCUGAGGCGCGAAAGCGUGGGGAGCAAACAGGAUUAGAUACCCGAGUAGUC